UACGUAGGGACCAAGCGUUGUUCGGAUUUACUGGGCGUAAAGGGCGCGUAGGCGGCGUGGUAAGUCACUUGUGAAAUCUCUGAGCUUAACUCAGAACGGCCAAGUGAUACUGCUGUGCUAGAGUGCAGAAGGGGCAAUCGGAAUUCUUGGUGUAGCGGUGAAAUGCGUAGAUAUCAAGAGGAACACCUGAGGUGAAGACGGGGUUGCUGGGCUGACACUGACGCUGAUGCGCGAAAGCCAGGGGAGCAAACGGGG
RNAcentral lists this ribosomal RNA (255 nucleotides) under uncultured bacterium. Its description in RNAcentral is "partial 16S ribosomal RNA". It matches the Rfam family "Bacterial small subunit ribosomal RNA", at positions 524 to 777 of the family's 1533-position model. The record is from RNAcentral.